Molecule: unclassified non-coding RNA, 1557 nt
Filed under: Hevea brasiliensis (rubber tree)
Lineage: Eukaryota; Viridiplantae; Streptophyta; Magnoliopsida; Malpighiales; Euphorbiaceae
Source: RNAcentral
GGAAAUGCAAGGGGCCUGAAAAGGGCAAGCCCAGCCCCAGAAAAAACCAUGUACUUGCCUUGUUGCCUUAGCCCAAAUUUUGGUUCUCACGAAUGUGAAGACUGGAGAGCACUUGUUUUGCUGGGAAUUGAGAAACAUUUGCAGGUUCAAUUACUAGGCCCUAAUUUCAGUGACACUCUUGCAGGAAAUUCUGGUACGACUCAGCACCGCGCCAAUGGCUAGUGACUCACGCUGCUACUAAUGGAGAGUUACUCGCCAUCCAACAAAAAUAAGCGCCUCAAAACUCUAAUCUUCAAUUCUAGAUGCACAAAUAAAUAAGAAACCAAUCAGUACGACUCGCAACGAGAACAUGGGAAGAAGAAACUCAAUCGUAGCUAAAUCAUUCAGUCUCAAUGAACGGUGAGGAUUCAGUUACAAUCCCACGGUGUGAACGACUUUGUGAGAGGUUAAUAGAUACUAGGCACCCACCUUGCAAGCCGGUUUUCCUAUCUAAGUGGCCCAUCUCACGUAGUGUAACCUUUAGCUAUUCCUGUGCGCAACAGUUCGAAUCUGCUGUCUAAUCAUGGUAGCGCUAUCAGAGGCUAAAUCGAUAGCUGCGAACAAUUUUUCUGAGUUGUGUCCCGAUGCCCCACGUGGAAACGCCGGUGCCAAGUAAGUUUUCCAUUCAAUUUCUGUUUAAGAAUUACCGUGUUUUGAAGUAUAAAUCCUUUUGAAUUGCUCUGGAUUUUUUCCCCCUUCAGAUAAUGAUUAUGUUCACCUGUAGAAGUAAUUAAGUGUUUGUGGCCUGAAAAAUCGCGUUGAUUUGCUUUUUAGGAUUUGUUUAGAAACGGGGAUUAACUUCUUAAUGAUUUUUUAUUUUUCGUUUCCAUCAAUGACUAUGAGCCUUAGCUUAAUUACUGGUACUCUGCGUAGUCCCAAAGUGCUGUAAGAUUUAAGUUCAAGCCUCAAUUGAAGCUAAUUAUAUGUAAAAAAUAAAAAAAAUAAUAAAAAGAGAGAACAGAUGGUAAGAACAAUACAGAUAGAUCAUAUACUAGAAAUAUACAUGCACAAGUCAGAGAGAGGGAGAGGAAGAGAUUGAACUCUUAUGGAUGUAUUUAUUGCAAAAUGCGUUAUUUCUUAAUUCCCAGUUCAAUUUUCUUGCUACAGAAGAUGAGAUUGAGUGGAAUUCAGGGGACUUAAAUCACUCUUCCAGCAGCAGCACAAACUCCAGUCUCCACCUUCUUAUCAAUCAUAGGAAAUUGGAGACCGUCCAUCUCUUAAUUCAGAAUCUUACACAGAUGUUAUCUGCUCGGGAGGAACUCAUCAUUGAUGAAAUUACACCCCACUUCAGUAGCCAAAAUCCAGACCAUCAAUACAUUUCAGAAAUCCUAUUAGCAUCAGGUCUCCUUAGAGAUUUUGAAUCUGGUUUUACAGCCAUUCACCUCCGACAAACAGGCUACCCAGUCAACCCUAACUUAUUCCUUGCUCUGGAACAAGCUAAGGCAAAAACCACGCAUUCAAAUGAUGAAGAGAGCGGAACAAAGACUUUCCAGCCAGAACAUCAUAUCAAAAUCCAAA